Transfer RNA from Hydnomerulius pinastri MD-312, 74 nucleotides. It matches the Rfam family "tRNA". Rfam says of the family: Transfer RNA (tRNA) molecules are approximately 80 nucleotides in length. Their secondary structure includes four short double-helical elements and three loops (D, anti-codon, and T loops). NCBI's taxonomy places the organism in Eukaryota, Fungi, Basidiomycota, Agaricomycetes, Boletales. The record is from Rfam.
GGCCGACUAGCUCAGCUGGUUAGAGCGUCGUGCUAAUAACGCGAAGGUCCUGGGUUCGAUCCCCAUGUUGGCCA